RNAcentral lists this ribosomal RNA (465 nucleotides) under uncultured bacterium. RNAcentral describes it as "partial 16S ribosomal RNA". It matches the Rfam family "Bacterial small subunit ribosomal RNA", at positions 339 to 795 of the family's 1533-position model. The record is from RNAcentral.
CUACGGGAUGCUGCAGUGGGGAAUAUUGGACAAUGGGGGAAACCCUGAUCCAGCAAUGCCGCGUGUGUGAAGAAGGCCUGCGGGUUGUAAAGCACUUUCGGUUGGGAGGACUGCUUCUAGCACUAAUAUUGUUGGAAGUUGACGUUACCUUCAGAAGAAGCACCGGCUAACUCCGUGCCAGCAGCCGCGGUAAUACGGAGGGUGCAAGCGUUAAUCGGAAUUACUGGGCGUAAAGCGCGCGUAGGCGGCUAGAUCAGUCGGGUGUGAAAGCCCCGGGCUUAACCUGGGAACUGCAUCCGAUACUGUCUAGCUUGAGUACAGGAGAGGAGAGUGGAAUUCCACAUGUAGCGGUGAAAUGCGUAGAUAUGUGGAAGAACACCAAUGGCGAAGGCAGCUCUCUGGCCUGAUACUGACGCUGAGGAGCGAAAGCGUGGGGAGCAAACAGGAUUAGAUACCCGUGUAGUC